Molecule: ribosomal RNA, 253 nt
Filed under: uncultured bacterium
Lineage: Bacteria
Description: partial 16S ribosomal RNA
Rfam family: Bacterial small subunit ribosomal RNA
Source: RNAcentral
AACGUAGGUGACAAGCGUUGUCCGGAUUUACUGGGCGUAAAGAGCGCGCAGGCGGUCGAUCAAGUCGAGUGUGAAAGCCCCCGGCUCAACUGGGGAGGGUCAUUCGAUACUGAUCGACUCGAAGGCAGGAGAGGGUAGUGGAAUUCCCGGUGUAGUGGUGAAAUGCGUAGAUAUCGGGAGGAACACCAGUGGCGAAGGCGACUACCUGGCCUGUUCUUGACGCUGAGGCGCGAAAGCUAGGGGAGCAAACGGG